GGACGAGCCUCUGGAGAGACUGAGAGCCCAGGAUAACCCCUAGGUAUCACGGCGCCGAAGGCGAAAGUGCAGCCCCAAUGGCUGCGCGAAACGCUCAGGCAAAAGGACAGAGGAGAGGAU
RNAcentral lists this non-coding RNA (120 nucleotides) under Shewanella loihica PV-4. RNAcentral describes it as "Glycine riboswitch aptamer". It matches the Rfam family "Glycine riboswitch aptamer". Rfam says of the family: This family represents the bacterial glycine riboswitch. Glycine riboswitches usually consist of two metabolite-binding aptamers domains with similar structures in tandem. Lineage: Bacteria; Pseudomonadati; Pseudomonadota; Gammaproteobacteria; Alteromonadales; Shewanellaceae. The record is from Rfam by way of RNAcentral. RNAcentral also lists the same sequence under 1 other name.